CUGGUCUCACAUGGUGGAUAGAGUUGGCUUCGGCGCCAUUGAACCUUUAGCACCAUUUGAAAUCAGUGC
This 69-nucleotide microRNA precursor is filed under the name Capitella teleta. Its description in RNAcentral is "Cte-Mir-29-P1_pre stem-loop". Lineage: Eukaryota; Metazoa; Annelida; Polychaeta; Capitellidae. The record is from RNAcentral.